Molecule: RNA transcript, 1082 nt
Organism: Perognathus longimembris pacificus (Pacific pocket mouse)
Lineage: Eukaryota; Metazoa; Chordata; Mammalia; Rodentia; Heteromyidae
Gene name: protein Hikeshi-like
Exons: 1
Source: RefSeq, a predicted model, not a curated record
CAAUCUCUUAAAGCUAGGAUUAUAGAUGUGAGCCAGGUGGAGACUGAAGGCGUUCCGUGCUUCUGGGCCUGGUCGCGAUGUAGUGGUGGGAUCCGCUUCCUCUGGCAAAUUCUAGAAGGCUCCUGUGCUCUGUUAGGUCUGUAGCCCCUGGAUCCCUGGUUUCCUGUUGCUGGGCUCCGCGGGCUGAGCUGAGCCGCUGCCGCCAUGUUUGGCUGCCUGGUGGUGGGAAGGCUGGUGCAAACAGCUGCCCAGCAAGUGGCAGAGGAUAAAUUUGUUUUUGACUUGCCUGAUUAUGAAAAUAUCAACCAUGUUGUGGUUUUUAUGUUGGGAACAAUUCCAUUUCCUGAGGGAAUGGGAGGAUCUGUCUACUUUUCCUAUCCUGAUUCAAAUGGAAUGCCAGUAUGGCAACUCCUAGGAUUUGUCACGAAUGGGAAACCAAGUGCCAUCUUCAAAAUUUCAGGUCUUAAAUCUGGAGAAGGAAGCCAGCACCCUUUUGGAGCCAUGAAUAUUGUUCGAACUCCAUCUGUUGCUCGGAUUGGAAUUUUAGUGGAAGUAUUGGACAGUGUGGCUCAGCAGACACCCUUAGGCAAUGCCACUGAAUCUUCAGUUGACUCAUUCACUCAGUUCACACAGAAGAUGUAAGACAACUUCUACAACUUUGCUUCAUCAUUUGCUGUGACACCAAAUCCAUCUGAGAUGUUCAUUCCAGCAAAUGUGGUUCUGAAAUGGUAUGAAAAUUUUCAAAGACGACUUGCACAGAAUCCUCUCUUUUGGAAAACAAUUUAAAUAAAAUUAUUUUUUAUUGAAAAAGAUGUGAGCCCUUAGCACUAGCACCUUGCUUCCCAUUGAAUUUUGACAGCACUAGAUCAUUAUCACUUUAGCUCUGAAAUCUAGAGAAGUGAUUUUAGACCCUUAUCAUGGAACCCAAUAAGGUAAGCCAUGAGUAACUUGGUGUGAUAUGUAAAUGUAGGAUAUUGGGUUAAGUGUCUUAUUCAAUCUCAGUUUAAUAAAAGUAGGUUUACCUGUUGUAAUAAUUUUUCCCCUUUAAGUACUUUUGUUACGAAAUUGUAGUGUCUUUUACU